AAGAGGGAAGAUUGUAAAGGCACCAAACAUGACUCUGUUUUCUCCGAUUGGAAGAUUCUUGUUGGGCCUUCUGAUUGGGAAGACCACUCCCUGGGGAAGGAAGGAGCAGAGAGAUACAGGGUUCACAACCUCCCGAAUUGUUCUCAUGCUCAGGGCUUCAUGAGCUCGGCAUAGCUGUACCGCUCUCCAGUUCAAGCCGUGAGACUAGCAAGCUUGACCCAAACUAUAUAAUUCCGGUUUACCUUGGACAGGCUGAAAAUGUAAGAACUAGACUGCAGCGUUGUGGCCGUGGAGGCGCUCAUUUGGAGAAUGGAAAGCCAACUAGUGAGCUUAAUUAUUCUACUCAACAAGGGCUUGGAUUGUUUACGGAUAUAUUUGCAAGACGCUACUCAGUUGUAUAUAGACGGGCCCCUAUGAAGAAUAAGAGCAAUGCUGAAAAAACAGAAGCUCAGCUCCUUGACACAUUUGAUUAUGCAUGGAACAAAGGCAGUAAUGGUGUUCGCUGCCCUAACGAUAUCCUCCAAAAACUUGAUCGAUGCACUUCACCAAGUACCCGGUUUCCCGCUAUUGUGAGGAAGCUUUUGACUUUCCAGGAGAAGGAAAAAGGUAUCAAAAUUGAAGCCUGCAAGCCGAUUAUAUUGGGAAAAGGAUCCAACACAUAAUGCAAUGAGGAGAACAAUGAUCUCCUCUCUCGAAUUCUCAAAAUAGGCAGAUCACGGCCUAGACUUGUUCCAGUUAAAUAUGGUAUAGACAAGGACCAUGCUACUAUAUGUGGGGUGGCCUUAGGUCAUGGAUCUAUUUGCAGGAGGAUACCAGUUGAAGGAAGGAAAAGGUGUGUUGGGCACAAAGGGAUGAAAGUAACGCUUUGACCUCAAAGUUGAUUAUAGAUGAGAAAUCACCUAUUGAUUCUGGUGUUGAUGCUACAAGUUUCUGCUAUGACAAAGUGAAGCUUCAACCGGCUACCGAUAGUUUUCCCGUCGGCAACAAUUCCUUUCUUAUCUGUGGAAUCACCUCAGACGAUGGCGCUCUGUGUAGACAACAACCGGUCCAAGGGAGAAAAAGAUGUGAAGAGCACAAAGGAAGAAAGAUUACAAGGUCCCAUAAACCUCAUACAAGCUACUCUCUAGUUCUCUCAGAGAGUGCAGUUAUGAACGAAACGGGCACUAUUUGUGGGGUUGAUUUGAAAAAUGGAACCGUGUGCAGAAGGCGACCUGAGGUAGGAAGAAAGAGGUGCGAAGAACACAAAGGCAUGAGAGUUACAGGAUCCAAGUCUAUGUUACCAGCAGCAGGAGAUAUACCCCUUGGUUUUUGAUGGGCCAGCCAGGGAUUCGUUGUGAAGAGCAAAAAAUCCUCCAGCUCAAAGGAAGAGCACAAACUCGUAAGAUCGAAAUCACAUGAAUCGAUACCUUGGUAGGAGGAAUAGAACGUCGCGGUUUGUUUUCCAUGAUCCGGCUGACGAUGGAUGGAAUCGGGCCGCUAGAAUUGCCGCUCCAAGCGAAGUCGAAACAGGAUUGUUGAAUGACGAAAUUGACCUCGCAUGGAGGUAUUGGGGUGAAGCGGGAGCCUUGGCGGGUUUUUUCUACCGGAAUCAUUGAUAUCUUUAACUAUGAAGAAUAGGAGAAGCAUGAAGGAUUAACGGUAACCGGAGUAGAAUCAUCGUGUAUUUCCUAUUUCGUUGAGACAAAAUCAAGUUUUCACGCGCAGAGCUUUCCAUUGUUGAAUCAAUGGAAUCAAUAUGCUCUGCAACUCCUUUUGCCAUCAACCAUCGUGGAUGUAAUCUGUUCAUUCAACAAUGGAAAUCUUUGUACGCGAAAAACUUGAUUCCAUCGUGGCAAAAUUGGAAAUCCAUGAUGAUUCAACUCUUCUCGUCAUUAAUCUUCACG
Long non-coding RNA from Rhododendron vialii, 1883 nucleotides. RefSeq lists it as uncharacterized. The record is from RefSeq and is a predicted model, not a curated record. Lineage: Eukaryota; Viridiplantae; Streptophyta; Magnoliopsida; Ericales; Ericaceae. The transcript is spliced from 4 exons.